Aegilops tauschii subsp. strangulata is the source of this 2509-nucleotide long non-coding RNA. RefSeq lists it as uncharacterized. Lineage: Eukaryota; Viridiplantae; Streptophyta; Magnoliopsida; Poales; Poaceae. The record is from RefSeq and is a predicted model, not a curated record.
GAAUAAAAAUAGAAGUAAAACACAGAAACAAAGAAAAAUGGGCCAGUCUAUUAUUGGUUGUCCUGUGUGAAGCUCUGACUAUUUGUCGCCCAGUGUGUAAAAUAGAUGUUUUCCAGCUGCGUGGGCAGAUAAAUAAGUGGGCUGGCUUCGCUGGGCCACAGUGCGCGGCCCACGCACGAAAUUAUAGAAAGCCUUUGUUUUCUAGGAGACGAACGCAUAAGAAUUUAGUACCAUCUUGAAUAGAAAAAAAAUUCUUUUCCACGGUGAACGGAUGAAAAAAUUAGCGAAACGUACCUUGCUUUAUUAUUAAAUAGAAUAGAUAGAUAUAGAUAUAGAUAUAGAUAUCUAUCUAUCUAUAUCUAUACUUCUAUAUCUAUAUCUAUCUAUCUAUAUCUACUUAUAUAUACUUAUAUAUACUUAUACUAAUUACCGACUCCCAAGAAAUUCCCACGUUAACUAGAAAAUACUGACCGUUAAUUUGGUGGGACCAAAUUAUUAUGGUGUAGAUCAACUCACGUGAUAAUUGACAAAAAAAAAUACUCAUAGGGCCCACAAGAGAUAAAAACACGCUUAAAUCCUUUCACAUGGGUCAUGCAUGCGGCAGCCCAUAACAGAAUCACGGAAUCAAAAGGUUGAUUAACUUCCCUAAACAAAAGCUAGGUUCAUUAACUACAUAUGUAUUUUUUCGUGGUGAUUAACUACGUAUGUAACAUCCCAAUAAAAAAAUAAAAUGGCCAGGUUGUAAUAUGCCAAUAAAAAAAAGCGGCCAGGUUGUUAAAAAAAGAACGUAAUAUGCCUAGGAAGACUAGCACGCAACAAUCGGAUCUCACACCAUUGAACCUGCACUCAUCUAAAGAUUGCAAAGAAACUUUAAACACACAGACUCCCCAACCAGGUCUCGCCAAUCUUCCUUCUCACCAAAGCUCCUACAAUACUGCCCGAUCGAUCGAUCAUCUGAGGCUCUCCCCAAUCUUCCUCCUUGCCAUAUGCACAUGUUCUUCCUGUAACAUCUUCAUUUCUCGAUAUUCAUGCCCAAUCUUUGUUUCUUUGCUUUUCUGCUUCAUGUAUAUUGCGUAUUUCAUACGCUAUCAACUCAUCGCUCUGACCAAAAUAUUUUUGCACGUAUAUCUAAGAUUGAUCCAUCAACAUCACUUCCUGGCCGAUGAAUUUGGAAGUUUCAGCAGCGAAGGAAGAUGCGGUAGGGUACAGUAACGUCAAGCUCCAGUGCUAUUAACCAUGGAGCGUCUGGAAUUUGUAAUUUCCACAUUAUGAUAGCUUUUCCAACAUAAGGCCAUGAUCAUGUUGGACCUAUCUGGAACUUGACGUGGAUGGAGAAAGCUUUAUGACGAGAACCCAACAAACAGCCAGUUUUUUUGGCGAGCACUGAGAUAAGCCAGCAUAUCAACAUUAUCCUGAUUUGCUCCUUUAGCGUAUGAGAAGCGCACCGCGAGCAAGCCAUGGUCUAUUUCCAAGAAGGUGGCUAUAUAUGAUGUACCCAGCUUCAGGCCAGAGAUCAUUGCCCAAGUUUUCAUUAUCUACACCACGUUGGAUGUCCUUAAUGCAGUUAACCACGGAGGGAGUGCACUGAUAGUAGAUGGCAGACAUAAUACUUGAAUUUCAUACAUCACGACUGUAGGAUAACAUGGUAAAAUGGCUAAAGGAAAUAUCGGAAAGCAACUACACAUUACAUGUUAUGGAGUAUGCUCUUUGUUAUGGAACAAUAGGCUCCUACUAUGCCAUAUUAAAAAUAGAGAUAUUUGCAUAUUUGAGGGGGCUAUGGGCCUCAAAGGGUGAAAACAAAGGUUCUGAAUAAAGGAAUGCAAAGGAUCUCAGUGUAAUGCUCGAACAGACGAUAUAACUGAAGGUCUAGGUCAGCGAUGUUCCUCUGAGCCAAGAUCUCCUCGCACCAUGUCUCAAAUUAAAUAUCUUCUAUAUCAUUUGUUCUAAUUGUUCGACAUGCCAAGUAUCAUCAUUCCAUAACUGUUUGGGAUACAAGACUCAGCAAUGGAAUAGUUGGAUAUAUGCUAGCUUGGAUUGGCAGGUUCAAUUAAAAUCCAUAGUUUAAUUAAUUUUGCAUACCCUCUCGAUUGCAAAAUCAAGACGUUAUUGUGUUGCGAUGUGAGCAGAGCACGCUCGAGCUAUUUCGACCAUUGUUUUUAGAAUUGUUUGAGUGUAUAUGUUCAGUACUGGUGUUGUACUAUUUCAGUUCUAUUGCAGAGUAUGCCCUUCCUUUCCUGUCAUACUAAGGUCACCAGACCAAAUCUGAUGGGGGCCGUUCCAUCACAAACAUUUUAUACUUCACAUGUAGUGCUUUCUCCAUGAUUCUACCACGCAUGAAAUUGUUUCUUCUCUUUUCAUUGUACGUGAUUAUCCAUGUCACAAGGGCAAAGCUUAGUUCCAACAUGCAUAGGAACUACAACCUCCAUCCUAAAUUACUUAACUUAGAUUUGUCUAGAUACGGAUGUAUCUAGACACAUUUUUAGAUACAUCUGUAUCUAGACAAAUCUGA